Molecule: ribosomal RNA, 205 nt
Filed under: Escherichia coli
Lineage: Bacteria; Pseudomonadati; Pseudomonadota; Gammaproteobacteria; Enterobacterales; Enterobacteriaceae
Also listed under: 1 other name
Description: partial 23S ribosomal RNA
Rfam family: Bacterial large subunit ribosomal RNA
Source: RNAcentral
CGGUAGCUAAAUGCGGAAGAGAUAAGUGCUGAAAGCAUCUAAGCACGAAACUUGCCCCGAGAUGAGUUCUCCCUGACUCCUUGAGAGUCCUGAAGGAACGUUGAAGACGACGACGUUGAUAGGCCGGGUGUGUAAGCGCAGCGAUGCGUUGAGCUAACCGGUACUAAUGAACCGUGAGGCUUAACCUUACAACGCCGAAGCUGUU